AACGAACGCUGGCGGCAUGCCUAACACAUGCAAGUCGAACGGGAUCCUGGUUUCGGCCAGGUGAGAGUGGCGGACGGGUGAGUAACGCGUGGGAACCUGCCCAGUGGUGGGGGAUAACUGCGGGAAACUGCAGCUAAUACCGCAUGAGCCCGAAAGGGGAAAGAUUGAUCGCCAUUGGAGGGGCCCGCGUUCGAUUAGGUAGUUGGUGAGGUAACGGCUCACCAAGCCUUCGAUCGAUAGCUGGUCUGAGAGGAUGAUCAGCCACACUGGGACUGAGAUACGGCCCAGACUCCUACGGGAGGCAGCAGUGGGGAAUAUUGGACAAUGGGGGCAACCCUGAUCCAGCAAUGCCGCGUGAGUGAUGAAGGCCUU
This 372-nucleotide ribosomal RNA is filed under the name uncultured bacterium. RNAcentral's name for it is "bacterial SSU rRNA". It matches the Rfam family "Bacterial small subunit ribosomal RNA", at positions 29 to 418 of the family's 1533-position model. The record is from RNAcentral.